RNAcentral lists this ribosomal RNA (86 nucleotides) under Cronobacter sakazakii E899. RNAcentral describes it as "partial 23S ribosomal RNA". It matches the Rfam family "Bacterial large subunit ribosomal RNA", at positions 2842 to 2925 of the family's 2925-position model. The record is from RNAcentral. Lineage: Bacteria; Pseudomonadati; Pseudomonadota; Gammaproteobacteria; Enterobacterales; Enterobacteriaceae.
AGACGACGACGUUGAUAGGCCGGGUGUGUAAGCGCAGCGAUGCGUUGAGCUAACCGGUACUAAUGAACCGUGAGGCUUAACCUUAC